RNAcentral lists this non-coding RNA (32 nucleotides) under Mus musculus (house mouse). The record is from RNAcentral. Lineage: Eukaryota; Metazoa; Chordata; Mammalia; Rodentia; Muridae.
CUGAACAAACUCUAAGAGAGUCUAUACCCUCU